UGGGGAAUUUUGGACAAUGGGCGAAAGCCUGAUCCAGCAAUGCCGCGUGUGUGAAGAAGGCCUUCGGGUUGUAAAGCACUUUUGUCCGGAAAGAAAUCCUUGGCUCUAAUACAGUCGGGGGAUGACGGUACCGGAAGAAUAAGCACCGGCUAACUACGUGCCAGCAGCCGCGGUAAUACGUAGGGUGCAAGCGUUAAUCGGAAUUACUGGGCGUAAAGCGUGCGCAGGCGGUUUGCUAAGACCGAUGUGAAAUCCCGGGCUCAACCUGGGAACUGCAUUGGUGACUGGCAGGCUAGAGUAUGGCAGAGGGGGGUAGAAUUCCACGUGUAGCAGUGAAAUGCGUAGAGAUGUGGAGGAAUACCGAUGGCGAAGGCAGCCCCCUGGGCCAAUACUGACGCUCAUGCACGAAAGCGUGGGGAGCAAACAGGAUUAGAUACCCUGGUAGUCCACGCCCUAAACGAUGUCAACUAGUUGUUGGGGAUUCAUUCCUUAGUAACGUAGCUAACGCGUGAAGUUGACCGCCUGGGGAGUACGGUCGCAAGAUUAAAACUCAAAGGAAUUGACGGGGU
This 569-nucleotide ribosomal RNA is filed under the name uncultured bacterium. Its description in RNAcentral is "partial 16S ribosomal RNA". It matches the Rfam family "Bacterial small subunit ribosomal RNA", at positions 355 to 919 of the family's 1533-position model. The record is from RNAcentral.